This 253-nucleotide ribosomal RNA is filed under the name uncultured bacterium. Its description in RNAcentral is "partial 16S ribosomal RNA". It matches the Rfam family "Bacterial small subunit ribosomal RNA", at positions 524 to 776 of the family's 1533-position model. The record is from RNAcentral.
UACGUAGGUGACAAGCGUUGUCCGGAUUUAUUGGGUUUAAAGGGUGCGUAGGUGGCCCUGUAAGUCAGUGGUGAAAUAUCUCAGCUUAACUGAGAGGGUGCCAUUGAUACUGCAGGGCUUGAGUACAGAUGAGGUAGGCGGAAUUGACGGUGUAGCGGUGAAAUGCAUAGAUAUCGUCAAGAACACCGAUAGCGAAGGCAGCUUACCAAGCUGUAACUGACACUGAGGCACGAAAGUGUGGGGAUCAAACAGG